GGAAUCCUGUCUGUCGACCCUGACGCGUGACGCCUGACAUUUACAGCUUUGACUGUGAUAUAUAAUGGUAAUAUGUUUAUCUAAAAGCAGAGAGAUUUUGUGGCAUUGCAGAGAGCGAAUAAGCGGAAUGGAAAAAUAGGUCAGAUGACUCUGGCAAGGUAUAGCCUAGAAUAGAUGCUAUUAUACCAUGCCUGAUGCAUGAUUGUUGCAGCCUCUUCAAUUGAAUGAACAAUGACAAAAGUUACUAAGACAACUACAAUCCUACAGCAUUGAAAGUGCUAAAAGAAGACAAUUGCUUACCAUUUGCUGGCAAAUUGGGAUCUUGCUUAAAAGUACUUGAUACCUUUUUCAUGGGAAACCUCAUUUCGCAUUCUUCUGCCAUUUUGAUUUACUUUUAUCAAAGUGUCAACCAUUUUUUUAGUCUGUAGACUGACAAAUUCAGGAUGAUUUUACUUCCAAGCAUUGACACAACAUACAUCUCCAUGUAAAGUCUUAAUUAACAUCAAUCCAUUUUAUGUAGGAGUCGAUUUUUAAUUUUUGCUUGACAAACGGAUAAGUUGAAUGGUUAAGUAUGGUUGUUGCCCAGCAGAUUCAAACAUCAUAGUUUUGGUCGCACCUAUUGCCCCUCAAAAUUUUGAGGGGCAAUAGACUUUUCCUAUAGUUUUUAUUAACAUUUACUAGACAGAAAAAAAUGUGUUGGUGAAUGUCGUCAAGAAUGCAGAUGAUUUAGUUAAUUUACUGUGGUAUCAACCUAAUCAAAAUCUUCAUAUGUGAAGUGCUUUCAGACUUCAUUGGUGCUGAAUUUUUGAGUAUAUUAUCACCAGAAUGUCAUACAAAAUAACUUGGGCAGAAAACAGAUACCUUUGGACAAUGGUUACACCAAGGGCAGUGAAUGCAUUUCUCUUUUCACCAUUGGUCAGCUGACUUGCCUUCCCAGUUGCAAUGAAGAAGAAUGAUUAGUCAAAAGUAUUAAAAGGUAUUGUGAUCAAUCAGAUAUUGAUUUCCUAGUUGCAUGACAACUGUGGAAGUUGUCAUACAACUAUACAGCUGUAUUCACCUGUUUGUUAACAAAGAAACAAGCAACAGUUAUGGUUCGUUUGGUUGGAGCCCUUUGUCAACAAAGGGAGAGAGGACCAAGUCAAACGUAUCCGAAAGGUACGGGGUUACAAGAUGGAAGCUUAGCCACGGUUUAUUGUCAAACAAAUAGACACGGCUGUCGGAGCCCUUUGUGCGCAGGGCAUUUGACGAACCGGGCACUCAAAUGACGCUAAAGACUUUUCACUUUGUUGGUGUGGCACCGAUGAACAUCACACAGGAACUUUCUGGAUUAAGGAAAUCAUUAACGUCCUAAAGGCCUUUAGUACACCUGUUAUCUCCACCCAGCUUCUAAUUGUUGACGACCAGGAAUAUGCGCGACAAGUUAAAGGAAGGGUCGAAAACAAUUUUCGGAGAAAUAAAUUAAACAAUUUUUCGUUAUCAUUAUUUUUCAAUUGUCUUUUUAUGUGACGGGAUAUUUCGAUGAAGUAUAACUGCCUGAUGAUGUUUAAUGUCGAUUAAAUUAGACAUUAACCGAAUCCGCUUGCUAAAACUCGAGGUGGCUGCAAAUUCUAUCCAGUAGAGCCUCUGUAUACAUGUAAACUGAAAAUAAAACCUGCUUUCAUCGAAGUCAUUAGUGAAACAAUACAAAUUGUAAAGCUGUGCUCCAUCUGCAAAAUCGUCAAUGUAUCUGUGAGGCAGUACCUCAAAGAACAGUUGCCUAGGGACUUCAUACAGGGUUUGCCAACUGCUAGCCGAGCUGUCAUCAACAUCGACGAUACAAGGAAACCGCAUAGAUAGUGUGUAGGUUUUGAUUUCUAUAUCAGCUGCAGCAAUGACAAUGACCAUGACUAACAUGUGGAAAUGAUAGCAAACGGCGUAAACAUUUUUAGAAGAAAACAGAAAGUUUUCAAUUUUUUUUUAAAAUUCCCAAUGUCAAGGUUUAUCUGUUAACUGCUUCAAAUUGGCUCAGAAUUAGGCAGCAAUUUUGGAAGUUGUUGCUUUCUCAGUAUGAAUGAGUUUCAAUGUUGGUGUUGCAGGUGUUACCCAUGUUACGUUGACUGUUUGGAUUCCUAUUCAUUAACAUUUCAAAACCAAAUUCAUCUUCUUAAAAUUGACUCGAAAGGAUUUGGAUCAUUCUAGGAACAUAUCUAUCAAAGAUGCAAAGCUCUAAUGGGAUUAAUUUAUCCGUCAAGUACGUUUUCAUUUGCAGUCUGUAUGUCCUUUCCGAAGGCUCUGCCAGAAGAAUAUGCUAAAUAAUGAAUUUAUGAAUCGCGUAAGUUACACGAGCAAGAAUUUUUAUGCCUAACGAUGUU
Long non-coding RNA from Daphnia magna, 2351 nucleotides. RefSeq lists it as uncharacterized. NCBI's taxonomy places the organism in Eukaryota, Metazoa, Arthropoda, Branchiopoda, Diplostraca, Daphniidae. The record is from RefSeq and is a predicted model, not a curated record. The transcript is spliced from 12 exons.